GGAGAUUCUUUCAGUCCAGUC
This 21-nucleotide non-coding RNA is filed under the name Arabidopsis thaliana (thale cress). RNAcentral also lists the same sequence under 1 other name. Lineage: Eukaryota; Viridiplantae; Streptophyta; Magnoliopsida; Brassicales; Brassicaceae. The record is from RNAcentral.